This 1430-nucleotide long non-coding RNA is filed under the name Homo sapiens (human). Its description in RNAcentral is "non-protein coding TMEM44-AS1:7". The record is from RNAcentral. Lineage: Eukaryota; Metazoa; Chordata; Mammalia; Primates; Hominidae.
GAGAAGACCCGAGGCCUCUGCUACGAACACUGGCAGCCGAUGGAAAAUUCAGACGGAUUUGGGACAGUAUGCAGAGUUCUCCAAGCGACAGAUUAACAGAGGCUCUUGAAGAAUAACUGCGUAAUCACGUGUUCUGCUCAAAAGAAGGCCUGAAUGCCCAGUGCCUUAUUUGGCUUUCAGGGGUCUUGCGGUGUCACCCAGGCUAGAGUACAGUGGUGCAAUCAUAGCUCACUGCUGCCUCAAACUCCUAGACUCAAGCAAUCCUCCUGCUUCAGCCUCCCGAGUAGCUGGGACUACAGGUAGAUGAUGGGCUCCACGGGAACAGAGCAAACGUUCGCUCCUGCUCCUACACGGUGUUUCCUCUAAACCUGAGGCUCAGCCGACUUGUCAUCACUUAAAACCCAAUUCAGAGCGGGGGGGCACUGCCAGUGAAUAGUUCAUCACCGACUCAGUUUCCCCAUGUGUAUGCUGUGGUAUUGGAUCAGCAACGAGAUAAGAAGAUCUCUCCCAUUUCCAAGCGUCUAUGAUGAUUCUGAGGCACAAGGUCACAUUUGACAGUACUAGGAAACCCAGGAAACAAGAAGCAAAGAUGACAAAGGCUGUGUCUGCCUGGGCAGACGAUCUAUUUGGACAAGAUAAUAGACCCAGGCAUGGACAUGCUCUCCAAGAAAGAUGCCCUGACAGCUGCUCACACUGAAGCUGAAUCGAACAUUCCAAUCCUUAGAGGUUCCAGCGAAGAUCUUGAAGUCUCCCUGAGCCAUUGACACAAUGGCCAUGCCAUCCCAGUGAUAAAACACAAAUUGUGGCCUUGUUUUGGACAGAAAUAAAGAGCCCAGUUUGUUAGUGAUUUACUGAUAAUAACUGAAUCGAGUACUAAUACUUGGCGAUUUUAAAAGCCAUCAUGUUAAAAAGACCACCUGAUUCCCAGUGACCCUGCAGUGACUGGGUUUGGGCAGCUCGUCCCCUGCACCUGUUUGGGGCUGUGCCAGCCACUUCCAGUGAGAACAUCGCAUUAACUUGCGGUCGCAGACCUGGCUGGACCCCUUGAACCAAAUUCCUUUCUGACCUUAUCAGACCCCAAAUAAAAGAGCUCACCAGGCCCCUCAGCCUACGUGACCCACCUGCCCAGUGAAAAAAGUAGGGCCCUGUUCUGUUCUCUGAGGAUGGUCAGUGUGCUCUUUGAUGAAAACGGUUUCUAAGCUGAGGCCUGAGACCUAGAUCAUUGUUCUCACAGCGUGUGCUUGACCAGCCACACCAGAAGCACCCAGGCUGCUGGCUAAAAACACUGAUGCUGGGGCCCACCCUAGCCCCUGGGUAGGGGGUAGAGACCUAAGGUUUGGCAUUUUUACAAGCUCCUAGGGUGAUUCUUAGAUGCCCUGAUGAUUGAGAACCACUGCUCGAGCUUCUUAAAUGGCUGCUGAAGAAUGAUU